Molecule: long non-coding RNA, 6295 nt
Filed under: Sus scrofa (pig)
Lineage: Eukaryota; Metazoa; Chordata; Mammalia; Artiodactyla; Suidae
Description: lncRNA (ENSSSCG00040024722.1)
Source: RNAcentral
GGAUUCCACGAAUUUACAUUUUUGUUCAGAAAGAUAGGCAACAAACCCACAAGUAAAUUUUUCUCUGUCAAGUGCUAGCAAGUGCUAUAAAGAAGUAUCAAGAUAAGCUCUCUGGGAGAUAACACGUAAACAGAGACCUGAAGGCAGUGCAGUAGUGAUCCUUGUGAGUGUCUAAAGAAAGAAGGUUCUAUGCAGAGGAAGUACAGAGGCUUUGUGCUGGCGUUAGUGUUGUAUACUUAACAAGGCUUAACAAGCAGGCCCGUGAGUCAGAAGUGGAGUGAAGGAGGCUAAGUAUAGCAGCACGGAGUCAUUGAAAUCUUGGGGUGCAAACAGACCAUUGCAGGCUUGGAAUCCAUUGUAAGGAUGUUGCUUUUCCUUUGAGAGAGUUGGGAAGCCAGUGGAGCCUUUCUGAAUGACUUGGUCCUGGAAUCCGUCACAUCUGUGAGGCCUCUCCAUCUCUGUAUCCAUUUGGUGUCUGCGAUAUUGCUAUAGCUGCUUAUAAUCAGAGCCAGCCCAUGAGGGAUGUAUAGGUAAGAGAGACGAUACUGCCCCAUACCUCCAACCCCUCAGGAUGCAGUAAUUUAAAUUUUGUUCCUUUGAAUUUCUUGUUAUGUCACAUUUCAGCGUGGGUGUGAAUUCUCUGUGCCUGAGUUUUAGCAAAGACUUGGAUUUGAGAGGAGUAAAGAGACAAGAAAUUGGGCAGUGGUAUAGAUGCAUGUCAUUUCAUAGAAAUAGCUCUGAAAUGGGUGUCAGAAAUCUGGUUUUGAGAUCGGCUUUUGAGCAGCACUGCCACUUAACCUUGGGUAAAUAAUGUUACCUCAUUAACACUUAAACUUAUCUUAAAAUGAGCAGAAUUUGGUUACAUGUCUUCCAAGGACUAUGAUAGUGUCUCGGUCCCCCUUGGGCUACUUUAACAACGUACCUUAGGCUGGGUGGCUUUAAAUGAUAGAAAUUUAUUUUUCAUGGUUCUGGAGGCUACGAGUCCAAGAUCCAAGUGCAGGCCACUUUGGUUCCAUUUGAGAAUCUCUGGCAUGUAGGUAGCCACUGUCUAUGUCUGUUCCUGUGAGGGCACUAAUUUCGUUAUGAGGGCUCCACCCUCAGGACCUAAUUACCACCCAGAACCAUUCAGCUGAAGGCUUCAACAUAGGAUUUUGAAAGCCACAAACAUUCAGUCUGUAAGAGCCAGCUUAAAGUCUCUGACACCGUCACAUGUUCUUUCAUUUCCAAGUACCAUGCAGCUCAUCUAAGCUCAUCUAAAGUUUGCUUUAACGGCCAGUAUUGACAGUUAAAUAAAUAAACAUCGUAUGCACUUGCUCUGUGGAAGCCUUGAUGGUAGUUACCACAUGCCACUUUGCUGCUGCCGUGGGCUUUGCCAUUGUUCCAUUUAAACACACGUGUAUGAAUACAGUGCUGCUGAGAGCAGGCGAAGAAGAGUCUGCCAUGUGCCUUCUUUUAUUGGAAAAUAAUUGACAGGUUUCAAAAAGAAACCUGGAAUAGUCAGGCGGUUCCUAAUUCCAACAUGUAAUUGAUAAAGGGUAAUUUCUUUCCGCAUUUGCCCAACAUUUUCUUCUAUGGUAAUAAUUCACUGCAGCUGUGAGAAAGGAAGUGUAGGGAUUCCUUUUUGGGGUGGGGUGGGGCGGUCACCAGAGGCUUUGUUUUAUAUUAUAAAAUAUUUGUUCAUCAACCGUUUGUCGCUUGUAAAAUUUGCUGGUAGAAAAGCAUUUCGGUCAGUGAGAUCAGAGUUUCAAGUUCUUGUUUUAAAAGCUAUUUGAUGAGGAAUAGUUGACAGGGUAACUCUUCUCAUAUUCCGUGCAUUCUGGAUUCUAUCCAUCUGAAACAUACUUUGACGGGGAGGGGGGCGCAGGUUUCUAUACACUUGUAAAAAUGUUAAGGCAUCAGCCUCACAUGACUGAGAACUGCCUCUCAUGUUCCGGAUGUUACUCUGUAAUUGUAUGGAGCUACCAUGUGGAAUAUCUUUCUUCUAUUUAAUCUGUUCAUUCAAAAAAAAAAUCAUCUUUGGAAACUCUCCAGUGCCUUGAAUAUAACGGGGUGCUAUCUACGGUCAAUGAACAGUAGUCAGCGUCUCAUUUCUUAGCACUCAGUUCAACAGGCAGGCAAGUUGUUCUGUCUAACUUGCUGCCCUGCAUGGGUUUGCUUCCUGGCUCUUCAGUCUGCUUGUCCAGUAACCCUUAUCUCUCUGAAAUGUCUGUAUGUUCAUCUGAAAAUCCUGACUGGUGUCAAGCAUUACAUUGGAUAAGAAGAUGUCAGUAAAAUAGUACAAUUUUAAUAAUAAAUACGUAUUUUUAUUUGUUGCAUCAUGAAUUGCAAAGAAAUCCAAACUGAAAGAUUCCUAAGAGACACCCAUCACAUCUGUUUGGAAUUUAUAAGCCGACCAAUUCAGCAGAAAGUCGUUACUAAACGGGAGCUGUUACAGUUCCAUAAAAAGGUCCAGUUUUAUUCAGUGGCUACUUGAGGAAGAGCCUGUGACUUACUUUUGCGGAUUGAUUUUCUUGAAACGUGUUCAGGUCUGGCUUUGAAAAGGGAAGAAAAAGGGCAAUAAGGAGUAACAAUAAGAAGGGAGCUGCGCCUGAUUUUAUUUUCUCUCUUGGUGACCAGUUGCCUGUCUCGCUGGGCACACUGUGAGUAAUUUUAUACUUAAAGUCAAAGGACUCCUUGUGUAGGGUCUCAACGUGUCUAGUGUUACUUGAGUCUGAAGCAAUUUAAGAAGGCACACAUGGAAGUUCCCAGCCUAGGGGUCAAAUUGGAGCUGUAGCUGCCUGCCUGCACCACAGCCACAGCAACGCCAGAUCUGAGCCCUGUCUGCAACCUGCAUACACCACAGCUCAAUGUAAAGCCGGAUCCUUAACCCACUAAGCAAGGCCAGGGAUUGAACCUGCAUCCUUAUGGAUACUAGUCGGGUUCUUUACCACGGAGCCAUGACAGGAACUCCCUGUCCUCAAGUGUUUUAAUCUGCAAAAUAAAAGUAUACUUCUCUUAUAGAUUCUCUGGUUUAAUGUGCCUCACACAUAAUAAGUACCCCUAUAUACUAAUUAAAUAGGAAAUUUAAUCCAAUUAUUUGAUAUUAGCUUGAUUCAAACUUUGGUUUGGAGAAAUAUCAAAAAUCUUACUUGAACUCAUAUGAAGUUGUAGUUGUUUGAGGUUGCUCUGACCCACGGUAUAUGCCCUUGUGUGUAAUAAAAUGGUUCUUCUGUAUAUGGCAAUACGAAUUAGCUUAAAUCUAGCUGAAAAUACUACAUUCGACUUAUUUCAACUCCUUAUUUUCCCGAAUUGAAAAUCAACAAUCUUUUAUUAAAUUGUUCAAAAUUUAAAUAUCUAACAUCACAGAAUCACAUUUAUCAUCACAAUACUUUUAAAAUGCAAUUUAUAAUAAUUUUCAAAAUUAGGGAUUAGAUUUUAGGUAUGGAAAAGUUAAUAAAAGAUACACAAGUGAGCCGUAAAAAAGCAGACUUUUUUGUAUAGCUAUUUUAAUCUGGAUUUUUUUUUUCCCCUCUUAGAAUUCCCCUCAUUUCAUUCUUAUCAUGAAAAAAAAGGGCGGGGGAGGAAAAUGGAAGUAUUAUCUUUCUCUUGGGAUAAUGAGAUUGACUGAAUAAAAUCAAAUUGACUGUAAAAAAAAGCUGCAUGACUCAGGUGCCAGGGGCCUGGGGAAGACAGGGAAGUGGCUCUAGGUUCUGAAAGUAUUUGAAUGUAAUCAAUAGGAUAGUGUUUUAGGAAAUCAAUAGGAUAGGUUUUAGGAAAGAGCUAGAAAAUAGUUCCUAGGUAACACUGUCAUCAAGUGUUUAGACAUCUGGCUCAGGCAGGAUUAAUGAACACAGCAAAUCCUAAGAGAAUUCCCAGCAAACACAUGUCCUCUAAUGCAUAUUGGUGGGAAGGAAGAGAGGAAUAUUUUAAGGCAUGUGGUGCAGUUCAGAAUGUACCAGUUUGCAAAGGAUGAGAAUCAGGCUGCUUAUACACCGUAGUGUGUUAAACUUUCCAGGCCACAUUUAUAGAAGGUGAGAAAAAGAGGUUGAAGGAAGAUGGCAUCAGCUGAUGGACAGCCUUUUACACCAGUCAGAAGAGUUCACAUCAGAGCCAAGGAUUAUCAAGUAAUAUGAAUGAAAACUAUUUUCAAAGGAUCCAACUUGAUACGAAGUAUUUAGUUGACAUAGAAGUUAUAGAUGGGCUUAUAUGUUUGUACCUGUCUCCUUCUAAAUAGCCUUUGAAGAGAAUAAAACAAAUUUAUUUCUCUAGAAAUUAAAAAUAACUUCUCACUGUUCUCUUUCUGGCAAAAUAUGGCAUUUAUUUAGAAGGUCUGAUAUUUACCACUCGCUGCUACUAUUUGGUUCCAUAAAGCCUUCCUAAUUAUCUGAGAAAGCCAAAUGUGAUCUGGGCUUUCUUGGCAAAAGGAUAUUGACUUUCAUUAAGACUGAAUUGCAGUACAGACCUUUAAGCCUUUAUCUGCAUCUCAUUAACUGGCAUGUGAUUUGGGAGAGUGGCUAUUAAUUAUACAGAAGACGAUGAGUGAAUAGAAAGGAUCAUUCAAAGGCAAACCAUGCUUAAACCUGACUGUGUCUUCAAGCAUUAUUCACUUCAUCUGACAGGCAUUAAUUUACCUAAGUGUUUGGAAUCAGCGAGUGUAAGGGUUUCUAAAGGACACAUCUAGAAGCAACAUGAAUGUCUGUUUUUGUUUUUUUUUUUUUUUUUUCCAUUUCAUUUAAUGUAAUGCUAAGUCCUUUUUCUCGAGUUGGCUUAGUUGAAGUGGCAGGAAAAGAGCAUAUGUGAUAUAAUAGGAAUAAAUCCAAAAAAGCAGCUGAUGAGUGUUUUUGAGCUGAAUUCAUCUCUUCUCAUCAUACAUUAUGAUAGUAUACUCUUCUAAAAUCUACUGCAGGUUAAAAUAAAAUAAAAUGUUUCCUCAGUAUAAAGGUAAAAGAAGAGGCAGUUUUCACACCUAUUGUUAAGAUGUCAGAAAGUUGAUUGUGUCAUGUUGAAUCUAGACUGUACUGGAAAUUUCUAUUCUGCUUUCAUUUCUCUUAAGUGACACCUUCUUGUAAUAUAUUUUUGUAAAGCCAUAGAUAAGGAUAGAUUAAAAUGAAUGUGCAAUAAGCUAUGUGAACUUUCUUUUUCAGUUUUAUCUGUGGAAGUAAUGUUUUUAAAAUUUGGCCAUGUGCUCUCAAGUUUGGCCUUUUUUUUUAAUGUCAAAUGCUUGCAUCUAAUUUUCGUGUGCAAAAUUCACAUCGUUUCCAAUAUUAAAAUGAUAUGCCCUAAGGUAAUUGGCAAACUUACAAUGAAUACUGCAUGCAGAAUGCAUUGUGCUACAUUAGAUCAUUUUGCCGGGCAAUUGAAACUUGUAACAAUUAAUAUUUUUGCCAGGCAAUUGAAACUUGUAACAAUUAAUAUUUACCUUGGAAAGGCAGGGGUGGGGAGAGAAGGUUUUCCCAUAACACACAUGGGAUGGAUCUGAUCUGACUGGUUGAUUUCUCACUGGUUCCUUAUGAGUUGAGAUGUAACUGUGUAUGCGAAUGGCUGAUAGUUCUCACACUUGGAGCACAAAGGGGAACCAAUAAUUUUGACUGCAGAUUUUUGUAAAUAGUAAGCAUUCUAUGACAAUAAGAUCUUGGAGCAACUAAGCCAGGGUGGCUUUAGACACGCUUCUUGAGAUUUUCCAAGCUACAAAGGGCAGUGUCUCAGAGUUCAGACUGCUGAUAGUCCAUCUGAAAUACAUGGGAUAUUUGUUAAAGGAGUUUUCUUGACCUCAGUCCAGACUUAACCGAGUCGGAAUCUCUGAGAAGUGAAAUCUGGGAAUCUGCAUUUAACCCAUUUCUUGGGUAAUUCUUGACCACUGAUUUAAGUUAUCUUUUGAAUGUUUGGGGUGGUGAGCAAUAUAUUUCUCUGGAAAAUGUUUCUACUUAGUGGAUAUCACAUUAUAGUUUAUAUUUAUAUCAGUGUUAUAUAUUGCUAUAUAUAUUACAGAAUUACCAUAUCUUUCAAAAGUGGUAUCUAUGGGUCAGUGGAAGUAAAUUUAUGCCAUUGUCAUAGGUCUUUUCCUAUUUUCUUAUAAAAUGGUACUUCAAAAAAAUUACUUUGGGAGUUCCCGUUGUGGCUCAGUGGUUAAUAAAUCCGACUAAGAACCAUGAGGUUUUGGGUUCGAUCUCUGGAUCUGGCAUUGCUGUGAGCUGUGGUGUAAGUCGAAGACACAGUUUGGAUCUAGCAUUGCUGUGGCUCUGGCGUAGGACAGCAGUAACAGCUCUGAUUGGACUCCUAGCCUGGGAACCUCCAUAUGCCGCAAGUGCGGCCCUGU